Long non-coding RNA from Aedes albopictus (Asian tiger mosquito), 557 nucleotides. RefSeq lists it as uncharacterized. NCBI's taxonomy places the organism in Eukaryota, Metazoa, Arthropoda, Insecta, Diptera, Culicidae. The record is from RefSeq and is a predicted model, not a curated record. The transcript has 2 exons.
GCCUGCAACUCUAAUCUUUUUCUAAACUCUACUAAUAAUGUAGCAAUAGUAUUUGUAGUAUUCCUAGUAUUUUACAAUCAAAGCAACGUUGCCAACGACGGUUGUCAAGCAUCGUCAAUCAUUGAGUUGUUUAUCUGGUGUCACUUCAGCCACUGCAGUCAGAUAAAAAAUGGUAGAGAAAAGUUGUUUCCUUUGGUGUCCAUCUAGAUUUGGAAGUUGUGAAAAAAAAAAUACCGGAAAGGAUUUUUUUGGCUGGGGAAAAAAUGUUUAGAGGCAAUGGUUCCAGUAGAUGGAAAAUUUCCGUUUUCAACAGGAAGUGAUCCAGAGAGCCUAUCGAGGUUUCACUAAACAUCCAUGAGGCCAUGGGUGUAAUGGAGAAAAUGGUUAAACGGUUGAAAGUGCUUCAACUACUCGGUAAAUUUAGAAAACAGCGAAGCGAUGCACAGUUGACAAAUCUCUUCCCGUGCUCUUCCUAAGAUGCUAUCCUAAGGACGCGUUUGAAACCAGAUCCGGAGUAUUUUGAUGUUAUUUGUGUAAAAUAAAUGACUUAAUACAUA